GUUACAAAGCUAGCCGUCCUAGAUGUCCAGCGCGAAGCCUAGUAAGCCAACCGGAAGUUGGCGUACCCGGGGGAGUGUUGCCGGCGCGCAUCCCACUGUACUGGCAACGCUUUUGGAUGCACUACCACAAGAAGACAUAGUUGUACCUAAAUGGAAUCUACUGAUAGGGAAGCUGUCAGAUAUGAUGAUAAGCGAGAUGGAAAGGAGUAAAAGGAUGAGGAGUUGAAUGAAAAGAAAACCUAAAAACUAGAUAUACAAUGAAUUGUGAGCUUAUUGAAUUCGCUAUUAUUGAAGUUAAAGCUAAAGUUAGUUGCUGAUAAAUCUUAAAUCUAAUGUUAGUCGUUGUUAAAACUUAAAUCUACUUGAGAGUACGGUAAGAAGUGAAGUUAUUAAUAACAUACAGUAUAAUAUAAGCUAAAACAGUUUUCCCGAUAGUGUGCCCCACCCGAACGAACAGUAUCUCGAAGUUGGCGUCUUGAUUAGUCGAAUACAUUGAACAUAAAAUUAAAUAAAACGUUGGUACCGUCACGCAACAAUUACCGGCAGCAAUAUUAUGACUGCCAUGCUAGGAGCGCAGUAAAUGUGAGUAGCAAUUAAAGUAAGAUAUUUUAAGGCAAAUCAAUAUCUCUAACCAUUCUAACAGGAAUUUUGUAAUCCCCCGGCUUAAA
This 668-nucleotide long non-coding RNA is filed under the name Aedes aegypti (yellow fever mosquito). Its description in RNAcentral is "lncRNA AAEL022903". Lineage: Eukaryota; Metazoa; Arthropoda; Insecta; Diptera; Culicidae. The record is from RNAcentral.